This 774-nucleotide ribosomal RNA is filed under the name uncultured Neocallimastigales. Its description in RNAcentral is "partial large subunit ribosomal RNA". It matches the Rfam family "Eukaryotic large subunit ribosomal RNA", at positions 18 to 644 of the family's 3401-position model. The record is from RNAcentral. Lineage: Eukaryota; Fungi; Neocallimastigomycota; Neocallimastigomycetes; Neocallimastigales.
UCAGACGAUGCGUCAUGCAUAUCAAUAAGCGGAGGAAAAGAAACUAACAAGGAUUCCCCUAGUAACGGCGAGUGAAGCGGGAAGAGCUCAAAUUUGAAAUCUUAAAGGGUUUCCCUUUACGAAUUGUAGUUUAAAGAAGUGUUUUCUGUUGAGGUUUUGGUAAAAGUUCUUUGGAAUAGGACAUCAUAGAGGGUGAGAAUCCCGUAUUUGACCUUUACUUUCAACUUUGUGAUACACUUUCAAAGAGUCGGAUUGUUUGGGAAUGCAGUCCAAAAUGGGUGGUAAAUUUCAUCUAAAGCUAAAUAUUGGCGAGAGACCGAUAGCGAACAAGUACCGUGAGGGAAAGAUGAAAAGAACUUUGAAAAGAGAGUUAAACAGUACGUGAAAUUGUCAAAAGGGAAGCGUUUGACACCAGUGUUGUUUUUCUGAAAAUCAAUUAAAGAAUUGUUUAUGCUAAGCUGUUUAGACUUUAUCAGCUAUCUGUUUAGUUUUGAGCUUUUCUUUAAUGCACUUUUCAGUUAACAAGUCAACAUCAAUUUCUUUUGCUGUAAAAAAGCUUGAGGAAGGUGGCUUGAGAUUCGUCUUAAGUGUUUAUAGCCUCUUGCCUAUGCAGUCGGAGAGAUUGAGGUCUGCAGCGUAGAUCCUUCGGGGCUAAAUGCAUUUGUGCUAAGUUAUAACAUUUUAUAGACAACUUGUUGACUAUGAUUUGUCUUGUAGCUUACUCGCUUAUGUUAUUUUACCUACGCUUAGGAUGUUGAAUCUGUGCGAGACUAC